UGGUGCUAGCACCUCCUUCAUGUGUGUGGCGGGGGAUUAAAUGAGAAAAGGCAUGUAGACGCUUAGCACUGUGCCUGGCUAUAGUUGAGUACUCACUCAAUGGUAGCUUUUCUUUCUAUAUUAAUGAUAUUAACAACAGUCAUGAUAAAAAGUCAUAUUUAAAAUGAUUAAGGCAAGACAGGGCCCAGGUCAGCUGCACUCACACGCGGCCACCCCAGUGCCUCCUGCCUGCCUUCUUCCAAGGUGACCCAGCUUGGCGGUGCCAGCUCUGCCCAGGGCUGCUGAGUGAGGUUUUUCUGGGCCUCCCAGAUGGUGGUUCCCACGUGCUUGGGCACAGGUCUGCUCAUGGACAUCUGCUCUCCAGAAGCCACUUGGGAGAAGUGCCUCACAGCUGCUGCCUCUGCCCAGUUUGCAGAUGCUGCCUCCCGUCUCGGGUUCGUCUUCCAGCAUUCUUCAGAUUGGAAAGCCCUAAGAAAGAUAAGCCUUGAGAAGAAGAGUGAAAAUACCCCAGGCGGUAUUCAUGACCCAGCUACUGAAGAAGAGGAAGGAAUCUGGGGACCAGACUUGUGGCCAGGCCUCUGCAUUCAUGUGUAACCACACAUGAGCUUUCCAGAAGAGAGCGCCAGAAUGAUCUUCCUAUUACUCACACGCACAAUGUCUUAGAGCUCUCGCUAUGGGAUCUACAGUAAGUUAACCCAACAUCCCACAUCUGCCUCUUAGUAGAGCCAAAGAAUAGUUACUGAUCUUGGUCAGUGUAACAGCUGACUCUACGCUCAGAGUUGUCACCUCCACACUAAAUGACUACAGUCCCCUCUCUGUGUCUAUGGGGCAAAUAUGAUGGUGUAGAAUAUGCCCUAGGUUAGGCAUCUGAGCACCUGGAUUCCAGCUGAGUUUUUGCUACCAGGCAUUUAGAAGCUAAGUCUUGGGUUCAGUUUCUUCAUCAGCCAAAUAAGGGAUCGGGCUAGCUCAUCUCUAAACUCCCUUCUUACUCUCAUGAACCAUUCCUCAAAGGUAAAUUCCUAGCCUAGAAUCAUUCUCCACAAUGAAUCCUAUUUGCUUUCCACCAAAAACAGGAGGGACAAAAAGGAGAGGGAACAAGAAAUUCAGACAUGUUGUUUUCUCA
Long non-coding RNA from Suricata suricatta (meerkat), 1123 nucleotides. RefSeq lists it as uncharacterized. The record is from RefSeq and is a predicted model, not a curated record. Lineage: Eukaryota; Metazoa; Chordata; Mammalia; Carnivora; Herpestidae. The transcript has 3 exons.